This 75-nucleotide transfer RNA is filed under the name Nanobdellota archaeon. RNAcentral's name for it is "tRNA-Asp". It matches the Rfam family "tRNA". Rfam says of the family: Transfer RNA (tRNA) molecules are approximately 80 nucleotides in length. Their secondary structure includes four short double-helical elements and three loops (D, anti-codon, and T loops). The record is from RNAcentral. Lineage: Archaea; Nanobdellati; Nanobdellota. RNAcentral also lists the same sequence under 1 other name.
GCUCGUGUAGUCUAGUUUGGUCUAGGAUAAAAGCUUGUCACGCUUUAGACGCGGGUUCAAAUCCCGCCGCGGGCG